Molecule: ribosomal RNA, 831 nt
Filed under: Triticum aestivum (bread wheat)
Lineage: Eukaryota; Viridiplantae; Streptophyta; Magnoliopsida; Poales; Poaceae
Description: partial small subunit ribosomal RNA
Source: RNAcentral
AUGAGUUGUUCUGGCUACCAAUAUUAUCUUGUGAUACUUGACGACUUCUCCCAUUAUUCAUGGACUUUUCAUUUACGUGCGAAAUCUGACACAUCUUCUACCCUCCAACGUUUCUUCACUUACAUAUCAACUCAAUUUCACUCUCUCGUCAAGUGCUUACAAUGUGAUAAUGGUGGUGAAUUCAUUAACACCUCCUUGCGCUCCUUCCUCUCUACUCAUGGAAUUGUUUUCCGUCUCUCAUGCCCACACACUUCCCCCCAAAAUGGCAAGGCCGAACGAAUUCUUCGUACUACCAACGACAUUGUCCGUACUCUUCUUAUUCAAGCCAAUUUACCACCUACCUUUUGGGUUGAGGCCCUUCACACCGCCACGCACCUCUUAAAUCGUCGCCCCUCUAGCUCUAUCUCUUUUAACACGCCUAACUUCCUCCUUACGGGCACUCAUCCUCGUUAUGAUCACCUGCGUGUGUUCGGGUGUUUGUGUUUUCCAAAUUUAUAUGCCACCACUCCUCACAAACUUGCCCCUCGUUCCACCCCGUGCGUCUUCAUCGGGUACCCACUAGAGCACAAAGGAUACCGUUGCUUUGAUCUCUCCUCUCGUAAGGUGAUCGUUUCCCGACAUGUUGUUUUCGACAAAACGCUUUUUCCCUACACGCCCGAACCCACAAAAACGCCAGCCGCAUCAGAUCCCCCGCCUGAUCACCAGAUCCGCAUCAGAAUCAGCCCACCUACCUUGUACCCAGUGGUCCCCGGUCCACCCGCCUCGACUGCCACUUCCCUCCCAUCGACGCGCGGCCGCUCCACCCACGAUCCACCAACCCCCGGACCCGCU